GCAGAGGGAAGCAGCUGUUGCAAGAGUGAAAUCAUACCUGAAAACGGUGACUAAUUUGUUGUUUGCCAUCGACGAUUUCGGAGCUUGAGGAGGAGGAGCGGCACAGCAACCACGUAAGCAGGUUUUUGAGGCUUGUUUAAGGCAAGGUGAGUUCAUGAUUUUGCCUAUUGUUCCUUGUUCUUCUUCUUUUAUAACUCCUCCCAUUUCUUGUUAAUUAUUGGCUUUUUUUCCAGAGCCAAAAAAAUGAUGAACAAGUCUAUGGUUUGAUUGAGAGCUGUGGACAGGUUUGUCUUGGAGGGCAAUAUUCAUUUGGAAAAGUCUUUUGCUCAAUCCAUUGACCUUGUCUUCCAUGAACUUCACUUUUGAUGGCAUGGGGUGAAUGAUCUCUUUGUUGCUUAUGACAGAGAGCACAAGUGAC
Molecule: long non-coding RNA, 418 nt
Filed under: Fragaria vesca (wild strawberry)
Lineage: Eukaryota; Viridiplantae; Streptophyta; Magnoliopsida; Rosales; Rosaceae
Description: long non-coding RNA (FVES_LNC002150)
Source: RNAcentral